UACGUAGGCAGCAAGCGUUGUUCGGAAUUACUGGGCGUAAAGAGUGUGUAGGCGGUGCUCUAAGUCUGUUGUGAAAUCUCCCGGCUUAACUGGGAGGGUGCGGCGGAGACUGGAGUGCUAGAGUGUGGGAGAGGUAAGCGGAAUUCCUGGUGUAGCGGUGAAAUGCGUAGAUAUCAGGAGGAACACCGGUGGCGAAGGCGGGUCUCUGGGCCGAUACUGACGCUGAGGAGCGAAAGCGUGGGGAGCGAACAGG
This 253-nucleotide ribosomal RNA is filed under the name uncultured bacterium. Its description in RNAcentral is "partial 16S ribosomal RNA". It matches the Rfam family "Bacterial small subunit ribosomal RNA", at positions 524 to 776 of the family's 1533-position model. The record is from RNAcentral.